Molecule: ribosomal RNA, 397 nt
Filed under: uncultured bacterium
Lineage: Bacteria
Description: partial 16S ribosomal RNA
Rfam family: Bacterial small subunit ribosomal RNA
Source: RNAcentral
CCUACGGGUGGCAGCAGUGAGGAAUAUUGGUCAAUGGUCGCGAGACUGAACCAGCCAAGUCGCGUGAGGGAGGACUGUACUGAGGAUUGUAAACUUCUUUUAUCAAGGAAUAAAGUGAGGCACGUGUGCCUUUUUGUGUGUACUUGAUGAAUAAGCAUCGGCUAACUCCGUGCCAGCAGCCGCGGUAAUACGGAGGAUCCGAGCGUUAUCCGGAUUUAUUGGGUUUAAAGGGAGCGUAGGUGGGUUGUUAAGUCAGUUGUGAAAGUUUGGGGCUCAACCGUAAAAGUGCAAUUGAUACUGGCAGUCUUGAGUUCAGGUGAGGUAGGCGGAAUGCGUGGUGUAGCGGUGAAAUGCUUAGAUAUCACGAAGAACUCCGAUUGCGAAGGCAGCUUACUAA